CUGUGCUAAGGUAGCAUAAUCAUUAGUCUUUUAAUUGGAGACUGGUAUGAAUGGCUUAACGAAAAAUCAGCUUUUUUUAUAAUAAAAAUUGAAUUUAUUUUUUUAGUGAAAAAACUAAGAUUUUCCUGAAAGACGAGAAGACCCUAUAGAGUUUUAUAUAAAUAAAGUUCAUUUUGUAAUAGCUUUUCUUCGAAUUGAUCUAAUUUUAUAUUUUGUUGGGGCGACAUUAAGAUAAAAAAAACUCUUUUUUUUAUAAAUUUUUAUAAAAAUAUAAAUUGAUCCUUUAAAAAAGAUAAUAAGAAAAAAUUACCUUAGGGAUAACAGCGUAAUCUUUUUUGAGAGUUCUAAUCGACAAAAAGGUUUGCGACCUCGAUGUUGGACUAAAAUUUAGGUGUGGUGCAGCAGCUUCACUUUAGGGUCUGUUCGACCCAUAAUAUUUUACAUGAUCUGAGUUCAGACCGGCGUGAGCCAGGUUGGU
This 478-nucleotide ribosomal RNA is filed under the name Chthamalus malayensis. RNAcentral's name for it is "partial 16S ribosomal RNA". It matches the Rfam family "Bacterial large subunit ribosomal RNA", at positions 1946 to 2635 of the family's 2925-position model. Lineage: Eukaryota; Metazoa; Arthropoda; Thecostraca; Balanomorpha; Chthamalidae. The record is from RNAcentral.